RNAcentral lists this ribosomal RNA (712 nucleotides) under Dasybasis (Dasybasis) sp. BDL-2013. RNAcentral describes it as "eukaryotic LSU rRNA". It matches the Rfam family "Eukaryotic large subunit ribosomal RNA", at positions 2287 to 2835 of the family's 3401-position model. Lineage: Eukaryota; Metazoa; Arthropoda; Insecta; Diptera; Tabanidae. The record is from RNAcentral.
AUGCCUCGUCAUCUAAUUAGUGACGCGCAUGAAUGGAUUAACGAGAUUCCUACUGUCCCUAUCUACUAUCUAGCGAAACCACAGCCAAGGGAACGGGCUUGGAAUAAUUAGCGGGGAAAGAAGACCCUGUUGAGCUUGACUCUAGUCUGGCAGUGUAAGGAGACAUAAGAGGUGUAGCAUAAGUGGGAGAUAUUAUAGUUUCGGCUAUUUUAUCAAAAAUGAAAUACCACUACUCUUAUUGUUUCCUUACUUACUUGAUAAAAUGGAACGUGUAUUAUUUACUUAGCCAUUACACGGAUAUAUUUAUAUAUUUUAUGGUAUUUUGUUUUAAUGCGAGCUUCUUGCUUAAAGUACCAAGGGUUUGUUAUAUACACCAAACAAGUUAUGAUGAAAUUUGAAUACCACUUUCAAUAAUGGUCUGUUAAAUAUUAUUUGAAUUUGGUAUAACUCUUAUACUCAGGUAUGAUCCAAUUCAAGGACAUUGCCAGGUGGGGAGUUUGACUGGGGCGGUACAUCUCUCAAAUAAUAACGGAGGUGUCCCAAGGCCAGCUCAGUGCGGACAGAAACCACACAUAGAGCAAAAGGGCAAAUGCUGACUUGAUCUCGGUGUUCAGUACAUACAGAGACAGCAAAAGCUCGGCCUAUCGAUCCUUUUGGUUUAAAGAGUUUUUAACAAGAGGUGUCAGAAAAGUUACCACAGGGAUAACUGGCU